CAAGGUCGAGCGAACUUCCGUUGAUUUAUGUAUCGAUUUACUUGUACUGAUUGAGAUUUUAACACAAAUUGAGUGGCUAACGGGUGAAUAACACUUGCUUCACCUGCCCAGAAGUAGGGGAUAACACCUGGAAACAGAUGCUAAUACCGUAUAACAGAGAAAACCGCAUGGUUUUCUUUUAAAAGAUGGCUCUGCUAUCACUUCUGGAUGGACCCGCGGCGUAUUAGCUAGUUGGUGAGGUAAAGGCUCACCAAGGCAGUGAUACGUAGCCGACCUGAGAGGGUAAUCGGCCACAUUGGGACUGAGACACGGCCCAAACUCCUACGGGAGGCAGCAGUAGGGAAUCUUCCACAAUGGACGCAAGUCUGAUGGAGCAACGCCGCGUGAGUGAAGAAGGGUUUCGGCUCGUAAAGCUCUGUUGUUAAAGAAGAACGUGGGUAAGAGUAACUGUUUACCCAGUGACGGUAUUUAACCAGAAAGCCACGGCUAACUACGUGCCAGCAGCCGCGGUAAUACGUAGGUGGCAAGCGUUAUCCGGAUUUAUUGGGCGUAAAGCGAGCGCAGGCGGUCUUUUAAGUCUAAUGUGAAAGCCUUCGGCUCAACCGAAGAAGUGCAUUGGAAACUGGGAGACUUGAGUGCAGAAGAGGACAGUGGAACUCCAUGUGUAGCGGUGAAAUGCGUAGAUAUAUGGAAGAACACCAGUGGCGAAGGCGGCUGUCUGGUCUGCAACUGACGCUGAGGCUCGAAAGCAUGGGUAGCGAACAGGAUUAGAUACCCUGGUAGUCCAUGCCGUAAACGAUGAUUACUAAGUGUUGGAGGGUUUCCGCCCUUCAGUGCUGCAGCUAACGCAUUAAGUAAUCCGCCUGGGGAGUACGACCGCAAGGUUGAAACUCAAAAGAAUUGACGGGGGCCCGCACAAGCGGUGGAGCAUGUGGUUUAAUUCGAAGCUACGCGAAGAACCUUACCAGGUCUUGACAUCUUCUGACAGUCUAAGAGAUUAGAGGUUCCCUUCGGGGACAGAAUGACAGGUGGUGCAUGGUUGUCGUCAGCUCGUGUCGUGAGAUGUUGGGUUAAGUCCCGCAACGAGCGCAACCCUUAUUACUAGUUGCCAGCAUUAAGUUGGGCACUCUAGUGAGACUGCCGGUGACAAACCGGAGGAAGGUGGGGACGACGUCAAAUCAUCAUGCCCCUUAUGACCUGGGCUACACACGUGCUACAAUGGAUGGUACAACGAGUCGCGAACCGCG
RNAcentral lists this ribosomal RNA (1247 nucleotides) under Pediococcus pentosaceus. RNAcentral's name for it is "bacterial SSU rRNA". It matches the Rfam family "Bacterial small subunit ribosomal RNA", at positions 58 to 1259 of the family's 1533-position model. Lineage: Bacteria; Bacillati; Bacillota; Bacilli; Lactobacillales; Lactobacillaceae. The record is from RNAcentral.